CGGGGUGUCGUAUAGUGGCAUUAUGUACGCUUCGGGUGCGUAAAACCCGGGUUCGAUUCCCGGCACCCCGA
Molecule: non-coding RNA, 71 nt
Organism: Candidatus Adlerbacteria bacterium
Lineage: Bacteria; Candidatus Adleribacteriota
Source: Rfam